This is a long non-coding RNA of Zea mays, 1338 nucleotides long. RefSeq lists it as uncharacterized. NCBI's taxonomy places the organism in Eukaryota, Viridiplantae, Streptophyta, Magnoliopsida, Poales, Poaceae. The record is from RefSeq and is a predicted model, not a curated record. The transcript has 3 exons.
AUCCAGUACGCAGCCGCCGCCGCCUGCUGCUCGUGUGGUUCCGACGGUCGCUGACGCCGCGACCCCAUCCCGGCGCUCGGCGGCGCGCAUCGCCGACGCCGCCGCCCCGUUCCUUUCUCUUCCUCCGUGGCCGUCGUUCCCUCGCCGAUGCUCAGACCUCGCUGCGCUCCAACGCUCCCUACUCCCUCGGCUUCUGCCCCUGACCUUGGACGCCGGCAGUCCCCAGCUCCCUCCCAUGGCCGUUUCCAGCCUCUCCCAUGGUCGACCCCAACUCCUCCCAUGGACGCCGUUCCCUCCCUGCUCCAGUUUUAUCCAUGGCUGCGGCCUCGCCGAACCACGCAACCUCUGCUCUCCUUCCCUUGUUUCAAGGGCGAGCUCCCCCUGCUCUUCUGCUCGCGCUGCCCCUGUGCCAUUUUCCAUUCCUGCGGCAAGCACCAGCCCCUCCCCAUGCCAACCUCCCUUUUCUAUAGACGCUGCCCCUCUCUGGUUUCUGGUGGCCAGGCACCUCUGCUGCUCCCAUGGUGAUCUCUAAAUCCCUUUGUUGUUUUACUAGUUCUUAUUAAUACCCUGCUGAUGUGAGGUUUUAUGUGUGUUGAUGUGUGCGAUAUGGAGUAAAAUCCUUGGAGAAUUAGGUGGAGAAGAAGGUUAAGUUCAACGCUCCUUAGGUGUUCGAUGAUAUGCUCGAACUGGUGGUCGUCUUCGUUCUUGCUGAAAUCAAGUCGGAGCAUGAUGUGAUUAGGUUCGAGUAAGUUGGAGAACAUGAUCGUUGUGUUGGGGUAUAUAAACUUCCAAACUUGCAACCAAGGCCAUAAAGACAAAAUGCUCAACCUCAAGACGAACAAGCGAUUGCUGAUUUGCAGACGGUGGGAGAUUUUCUCACCGACAAAAUGCUCAACCUCAAGACGGUGGGAGAUGCACCAUACAGCCGGUAGUGUGAGCUAUGCAUGUUCAGAAUAUGAUUUGGGUGUUCUGGACAAAGAAAGCUUGUACCUUAAAACAGGAGGAUACAAGAAGCUGGAGUGGUUGUCUGAAGGCUUUUGAACUGCUUGAAGCAUUAGUGUAGCUUUUGUGCUUUUGUGACUGAUCAGCUCUGGAGCAGCUAGAGUGAUGUAGUUGUGGGCUUUUGAACAAUAGCUGGAGUGAUAUGAAACAUUAGUGAUGUAGUUGUGGGCUUUUGAACUGCUUCAAGCUGGAGUGAUGUCGCUGUGGUGCUUUUGUGACUGAUCAUCUCUGGAGCUUUUGUGAAUGAUCUAGCUAGCUAUCUGUAAAUGAUCUAGUUGUGAAUGAUAUUAUAACUGUGAUGCUUUUGUGAAUAUAUAAUUGUUGUGCUUUUGUGUU